GGUUUUCGGUCCGGGGUGCUGGAAGUGGGAGGGGGCGGACGGGAGAGAGGGCCGCUGGUCGUGGCGGCGGCCUGCGGCGGCGGAGGAGGAGGAGGGGCAGAGGGGGCGGUGGGUCGAGACGGGGCGGGGUCGCGCAGCGGUGGGCCGCGGCGGGGUUUGGAGUGGGUCCGCCCUUCCCUCGCCGUGUAGCUCGGCGUAGAGGGGGGUUUGGCGCGGGCGCUGCUCUCCUCGAGGACGUAGGGCGGCCACGGCGGAGUGGGAGGGGGCCAGCGGCGGGAGGCCACGGCGCGGUUCCUUUCCAAAUAAUGGACGUCCUUUCCACCUUCAAAGGAUCCCGAUCUAGUUAUAACUUGGAGCAUCGACGAUGACGACUGCUUAUAGUCUCUUAGUACUUUCGAGGAGUCGUCUUGACAUUUGGUUGACUAUGUCUUCGUUUCCAGUUUGAACCACCAUUAUUCUACGUAACGGACUUCGGUCCGUUUAUAUGGGUGUUUAGUGGUCCGUUACAACCCCGAUUUACAUCUUUUCCUCUACCAGUUAGCAAAUGACCGUCAUUCCAACGUAACCUCCCACCAUCGAAAUACCUUCAUGGUAAAUAGUUAAAUUGUUUGAACAGACGAGUUGGUGGUUUAAUAAGACCUUUCUACUUCGAAGUCAAAAAGGGUUAUCUACUCCGCUGAGUUUUCCAAGAUGUCGUCCUCUUCGUGUUAGGAAUGGACCUCAACUGAAACCGAGGCGCUUUCUUCCACAGGAGAUAACACGUUGUAGACUUGUGUUUUACCCCAGCAAGAUCAACACGUUUUCCGCUAGAGUACGAGAAGGGUAUGUCACGAUGUGGUCUAUCGUAUCGGUCGUCAUUUUUUACCUGAGAAGUACUAAGAACGUGACGACGACUACAAAUACAACGACAACCGUCGGGAAGUUGUAAGGCAAAUUCCAUACCAACCAAGUUCGGAUUAAACUUCGUUGUUUAGUCGCUUAAUAGGAACCGUGGUCACGUGAGACGUCUUUUCUGAAACCCGCUGUUUGGAAGUCUAGGAAAACUCAAAGGUUCAUUUAAAUGGUCAGGUAGGCAACUCACGUUGUGUCUUGUCCGACACCGCCUAUUGGUUUCGUUUCACUGUGGCGAAAGUACCUAACUGUCGUAUAGGUUAUAGUCAAAACCUCGUGACGAUAGCGUUCGACACGGGAGAGUUCUGUCGUUUGUUGACGGAAACGUUUUAUCGAGCUAAAAGGUCGUCGUCUAAGGACGGUGCACGCUAAGUAAGCUACGACGAUAACGAAGGAACUAACGAGCGGUCGUUUGUUCAUCGGUCGGCUUCCACAGUUUAGGUAGGGGAACCCUUCGUCUACUUUGGACAGUACGUAAGGGAGGAGGGGCCUUAGUUUUAAACCGGUCCUACGGGAGAAGACGAGGACCGUUGUCAUCACGAUAAUGGAGUUGAUAGGAACCACGUUAACGACUUAGGCCAUGUCUACCGCUGGUGGUUGUGACCGAUGGUCGCGAGAUGGCUUCCGUCCUCUCUCCUUGGUUCCGGGGGAGUCUAUGAUGGUCCGAACCCUUUAUUACUAUUACACUUAGGACUACACAGCAGCUACGGACUUAGGUGGCCGCUACCCCGUAAAAUGCUGCGAUCCGACAACUCACCUUGACUGUCAAAUCCCGAUUCGCCGAACGAAUCGUUUGUCGAACCUACGCCAGGGCUUCAAUACACAAAGCAUUCCGAGCCUUUAAAAUGUACCUUCUGGACUUCGAUAUAUAUCUAGGACAUUUCUAUCUAGUAGUAAACCCAAAGGACGACGAAGCCAGCCUUAACUAAUGAAACCCGAAUGACUUCGGCUAACACAUCUAUCUAUUAGUCAAUUGCUGUGCACAAUCAGCGUAUUUGAUGAAAAAAGAAAGAAUGACCGGCGGUGAACACUAAAAGCUUAAACAGAUACUAGACGAACCGAUGAGCGGUAAAAGAGACGUAGGACAUACGUAAGGUGGCUUACAAACCGUUUACAAACUUUGAAACCGAAGUUAUAAACAUACAUUUUGGCUCAGUAGCGUUAAAACGUCUCCUGCCCGAUUACGGUAGGGACGCGGGUUGAAAAGAAUAUGACAUCGACACCGUUAGGUCUAAAUUAUGGCUAGUGCUCUCAUACAAAAAAAAAAGAGAUCGAUUUAUGACAUCAUUGAUUACAUCAUUUUUAGUAGAAUAUGGUGCUCGUAAGAUCGUAGAGAUGAACCCCUGCUGUUUGGCUAGCUUCACUUCCCCCCUUAUUUGGUACUCUACUUUAUUUGGUUUUG
This 2293-nucleotide ribosomal RNA is filed under the name Triticum aestivum (bread wheat). RNAcentral's name for it is "partial small subunit ribosomal RNA". The record is from RNAcentral. Lineage: Eukaryota; Viridiplantae; Streptophyta; Magnoliopsida; Poales; Poaceae.